This 562-nucleotide ribosomal RNA is filed under the name Salmonella enterica. Its description in RNAcentral is "partial 23S ribosomal RNA". It matches the Rfam family "Bacterial large subunit ribosomal RNA", at positions 711 to 1269 of the family's 2925-position model. The record is from RNAcentral. Lineage: Bacteria; Pseudomonadati; Pseudomonadota; Gammaproteobacteria; Enterobacterales; Enterobacteriaceae.
AGACCCGAAACCCGGUGAUCUAGCCAUGGGCAGGUUGAAGGUUGGGUAACACUAACUGGAGGACCGAACCGACUAAUGUUGAAAAAUUAGCGGAUGACCUGUGGCUGGGGGUGAAAGGCCAAUCAAACCGGGAGAUAGCUGGUUCUCCCCGAAAGCUAUUUAGGUAGCGCCUCGUGAAUUCAUCUCCGGGGGUAGAGCACUGUUUCGGCUAGGGGGCCAUCCCGGCUUACCAACCCGAUGCAAACUGCGAAUACCGGAGAAUGUUAUCACGGGAGACACACGGCGGGUGCUAACGUCCGUCGUGAAGAGGGAAACAACCCAGACCGCCAGCUAAGGUCCCAAAGUCAUGGUUAAGUGGGAAACGAUGUGGGAAGGCCCAGACAGCCAGGAUGUUGGCUUAGAAGCAGCCAUCAUUUAAAGAAAGCGUAAUAGCUCACUGGUCGAGUCGGCCUGCGCGGAAGAUGUAACGGGGCUAAACCAUGCACCGAAGCUGCGGCAGCGACACUUUAGUGUUGUUGGGUAGGGGAGCGUUCUGUAAGCCGUUGAAGGUGUCCUGUGAGGG